This is a non-coding RNA of Vicia faba (fava bean), 192 nucleotides long. NCBI's taxonomy places the organism in Eukaryota, Viridiplantae, Streptophyta, Magnoliopsida, Fabales, Fabaceae. The record is from the annotation of a GenBank genome assembly.
AUGAUUUUGAAGGGAAAAAGUAAUAAAACUGAAGAUAUCAGAUUAAAGACCGGUUGGUUCUUUAUGAAAAAUGACAAAAUAGAAUUGAAAGUGCUAAUUUACCGUACAAAUGAUAUUUCUCAUCUAAACAUAUUGGGCUCAAUAUUAAACAUGCAAAUACCGCACUUAAAAGUACGGACAAUUUUUUCAUGA